GGAAAUAUGGGGGCGGCAGCGUGGUGAAGAGAGAGGGGGUAAUCGGUAAUCGGAAUUAGUGGGGUGAAAUCGUGCGUAGACGGUUAUGUAAGUCGGGUGUGAAAGCCGCGGGCUCAACCUGGGAAUGCCAGUCGAGACUGCAUAGCUAGGGUGCGGAAGAGGGAAGCGGAAUUUCCGGUGUAGCGGUGAAAUGCGUAGAUAUCGGAAGGAACACCAGUGGCGAAAGCGGCUUCCUGGUCCAGCACCGACGUUCAGGCACGAAAGCGUGGGGAGCAAACAGGAUUAGAUACCCCGGUAGUC
This 300-nucleotide ribosomal RNA is filed under the name uncultured Halorubrum sp. Its description in RNAcentral is "partial 16S ribosomal RNA". The stretch from base 52 to 300 matches the Rfam family "Bacterial small subunit ribosomal RNA", at positions 547 to 795 of the family's 1533-position model. The record is from RNAcentral. Lineage: Archaea; Methanobacteriati; Methanobacteriota; Halobacteria; Halobacteriales; Haloferacaceae.